CCUACGGGUGGCAGCAGUGAGGAAUAUUGGUCAAUGGCCGGAAGGCUGAACCAGCCAAGCCGCGUGAAGGACGCAGGUGCCAAGCAUUGUAAACUUCUUUUGUCAAGGGACAACAUCAGGCUCGAGAGCCUGACCGAGUGUACUUGAAGAAAAAGCAUCGGCUACCUCCGUGCCAGCAGCCGCGGUAAUACGGAGGAUGCGAGCGUUAUACGGAUUUAUUGGGUUUAAAGGGUGCGUAGGCGGACUGUUACGGCAGCGGUAAAAGCCCGGGGCGCAACCCCGGCGAGCCGUUGAAACUGGCUGGCUUGAGAUGUCGAGAGGUAUGCGGAAUGCGCAGUGUAGCGGUGAAAUGCUUAGAUAUUGCGCAGAACUCCGAUUGCGAAGGCAGCAUACCGGCGGCGAUCUGACGCUGAGGCACGAAAGCGUGGGUAUCGAACAGGAUUAGAUACACGAGUAGUC
This 459-nucleotide ribosomal RNA is filed under the name uncultured bacterium. RNAcentral's name for it is "partial 16S ribosomal RNA". It matches the Rfam family "Bacterial small subunit ribosomal RNA", at positions 338 to 795 of the family's 1533-position model. The record is from RNAcentral.